Molecule: ribosomal RNA, 1445 nt
Filed under: uncultured organism
Description: SSU rRNA
Rfam family: Bacterial small subunit ribosomal RNA
Source: RNAcentral
AGCUACAGGCUUAACACAUGCAAGUCGAGGGGCAUCAGGAAGAAAGCUUGCUUUCUUUGCUGGCGACCGGCGCACGGGUGAGUAACACGUAUCCAACCUGCCCUUUACUCGGGGAUAGCCUUUCGAAAGAAAGAUUAAUACCCGAUAGUAUAAUGAUUCCGCAUGGUUUCAUUAUUAAAGGAUUCCGGUAAAGGAUGGGGAUGCGUUCCAUUAGGUUGUUGGUGAGGUAACGGCUCACCAAGCCUUCGAUGGAUAGGGGUUCUGAGAGGAAGGUCCCCCACAUUGGAACUGAGACACGGUCCAAACUCCUACGGGAGGCAGCAGUGAGGAAUAUUGGUCAAUGGGCGCUAGCCUGAACCAGCCAAGUAGCGUGAAGGAUGAAGGCUCUAUGGGUCGUAAACUUCUUUUAUAUAAGAAUAAAGUGCAGUAUGUAUACUGUUUUGUAUGUAUUAUAUGAAUAAGGAUCGGCUAACUCCGUGCCAGCAGCCGCGGUAAUACGGAGGAUCCGAGCGUUAUCCGGAUUUAUUGGGUUUAAAGGGAGCGUAGGUGGACUGGUAAGUCAGUUGUGAAAGUUUGCGGCUCAACCGUAAAAUUGCAGUUGAUACUGUCAGUCUUGAGUACAGUAGAGGUGGGCGGAAUUCGUGGUGUAGCGGUGAAAUGCUUAGAUAUCACGAAGAACUCCGAUUGCGAAGGCAGCUCACUGGACUGCAACUGACACUGAUGCUCGAAAGUGUGGGUAUCAAACAGGAUUAGAUACCCUGGUAGUCCACACAGUAAACGAUGAAUACUCGCUGUUUGCGAUAUACAGUAAGCGGCCAAGCGAAAGCAUUAAGUAUUCCACCUGGGGAGUACGCCGGCAACGGUGAAACUCAAAGGAAUUGACGGGGGCCCGCACAAGCGGAGGAACAUGUGGUUUAAUUCGAUGAUACGCGAGGAACCUUACCCGGGCUUAAAUUGCAGUGGAAUGAUGUGGAAACAUGUCAGUGAGCAAUCACCGCUGUGAAGGUGCUGCAUGGUUGUCGUCAGCUCGUGCCGUGAGGUGUCGGCUUAAGUGCCAUAACGAGCGCAACCCUUAUCUUCAGUUACUAACAGGUCAUGCUGAGGACUCUGGAGAGACUGCCGUCGUAAGAUGUGAGGAAGGUGGGGAUGACGUCAAAUCAGCACGGCCCUUACGUCCGGGGCUACACACGUGUUACAAUGGGGGGUACAGAAGGCAGCUAGCGGGUGACCGUAUGCUAAUCCCAAAAGCCUCUCUCAGUUCGGAUCGAAGUCUGCAACCCGACUUCGUGAAGCUGGAUUCGCUAGUAAUCGCGCAUCAGCCACGGCGCGGUGAAUACGUUCCCGGGCCUUGUACACACCGCCCGUCAAGCCAUGGGAGCCGGGGGUACCUGAAGUACGUAACCGCAAGGAUCGUCCUAGGGUAAAACUGGUGACUGGGGCUAAGU